Non-coding RNA from Gossypium raimondii (Peruvian cotton), 126 nucleotides. The record is from Rfam. Lineage: Eukaryota; Viridiplantae; Streptophyta; Magnoliopsida; Malvales; Malvaceae.
UGUUAAAAAAUUAUUUAUUUUUAUUGAUAAAAAUAAUUAGACAAUUACAUGUGAUGUGCCACGUAUAUCUUAUUCUGAUGUAUAAGAACUAGUUUUUAGCAGUAGAAAUGGAUGGAAUUUUUAACA